This is a long non-coding RNA of Nomascus leucogenys (northern white-cheeked gibbon), 1250 nucleotides long. RefSeq lists it as uncharacterized. The transcript has 2 exons. Lineage: Eukaryota; Metazoa; Chordata; Mammalia; Primates; Hylobatidae. The record is from RefSeq and is a predicted model, not a curated record.
AACUCCUGAGCUUAGGCAGUCCACCUGUCUCGGCCUCCCAAAGUGCUAAGAUGGAGAAAGCUGCCAUAUAAAGAGUUAGGGGGACCAGGGCAAGAUCUGAGGGAUCAGUUAGUUGGCUAUGCCCCUUGUCUGGGCAAGACACUGCAGUGGCUUGGGUGGGGUGGUGGCAGGGGUGGUGGGGUGAAGAGCCUAGGUCUAUUUUGAAGACAGGGUCUCUAUGAGGGGUCUCUGUUUCUACUCUUCCAGAGCACACCACCACCUGCAGCUGUCUCCUGCCUCCAGUGCACCAGAGUCUGGAGCACGCUGCUUCUCUGGAGGGAGAUAAAGACACGGUGGCUACCUGGGGAGAUAAAACAGCACCAGCAGGAAUCAGGGGUUCCAGAGAGGAGGGAACCUGGCCCUGGGCUGUGUCCUGGCUUUUGUCUCUGCCACUUCUACUAAAACCACUCUGCUCAAGGCUGUCAUCAGUGUCUCCAUUGCCCAGGCCUGGACUGUCAGAGCCACUCCGGGACAGUUGCACCAGAUGCAUGAAUUUCCUGAUACAGCGAAAUCUCAGCAGAAGUUGACACCCACCUGCCUGGUGCUCUGGGAUGAAUUUCUGCACAGAUGCAACCUCUGUUGGUGGAAGCUAGGAUAAGGUGUAUCCAUCUGUGAAGACCGGCCUUCCAUCUGUUUUCUGAUGCAACCAAAAUGCUUCAGGGCUUGUCUUAUCUGGAGGUUUGAUGGCUACAGACGUGAGGGGCUUCCAGGUAGAGCUCAGCCCUGAGACCUCUGGUCCCCUGUCUGGACAUCUGUAUGAAGAUGGAGAAGCAGCAGCCAACCUCUCCACAACCCUCACCAAGUUCUCAUGGAACAUCCUCUGAUGGUCCCUCUCAGUGCUGGGUUCUGGGGAGAAAGAGAAGUCAGGGAACAGAAGAGCUGCUCUGCCAAAGUCAUACCCUUCUUGGAGACACAGGGAACUCCAUCUCUCAUUCUCACUUGCAAUUUGCUGUGGCAACUCAAAUAUGUUUUUCCAGAUGGAACAUGAGCAGACGUGAUGUGUUUGCCCUCUAGGUCUAACCCAUGCAAAGCCUCCUGGGAACACACCUCACGCUAUUUUCCCUUCCAUCAGCUGGAUGUGGAUGAUGAUUAGGAACUAGGGUGAGGUGGAGCCAGAAAACACAAGGAGCCUGGAUCCCUGAAUGACCACAUGAACAUACACAUGCUGAAGACUGCCUUGUAGGCAGGAAAUAAACAUCUACUGUAUUGAA